This 253-nucleotide ribosomal RNA is filed under the name uncultured bacterium. Its description in RNAcentral is "partial 16S ribosomal RNA". It matches the Rfam family "Bacterial small subunit ribosomal RNA", at positions 524 to 776 of the family's 1533-position model. The record is from RNAcentral.
UACGGGGGGGGCAAGCGUUGUUCGGAAUUACUGGGCGUAAAGGGCUCGUAGGUGGCCAACUAAGUCAUACGUGAAAUCCCUCGGCUUAACCGGGGAACUGCGCCUGAUACUGGUUGGCUUGAGUUUGGGAGAGGGACGCGGAAUUCCAGGUGUAGCGGUGAAAUGCGUAGAUAUCUGGAGGAAUACCGGUGGCGAAGGCGGCAUCCUGGACCGGCAUUGACGCUGAGGAGCGAAAGCCAGGGGAGCAAACGGG